This 239-nucleotide long non-coding RNA is filed under the name Ananas comosus (pineapple). Its description in RNAcentral is "long non-coding RNA (ACOM_LNC041762)". The record is from RNAcentral. Lineage: Eukaryota; Viridiplantae; Streptophyta; Magnoliopsida; Poales; Bromeliaceae.
UGAAAAUUUUCUAUGUAUACGACAGGUCUGUUGGCGUGCCCGGAAAAAUGUGGUAAUUUGGAGCGUGAUAAUAAUUUAUUACAGUUAAUCAAAAAAUUAAAUAUUAAUAUAUUAGUUUUGAGAUAAUUUGAAAUUAUAGAAAAGAUUUGGAAUAAUAUAUAAUAUUUAAUAAAUAAAAGGAAAGAUUACCUGUUAGAGAAAAAAGAGGAAUUUAAAUAAAGUAUAAAAAUGCUUAAAUU